AGUUUUACUCCAGUUUUUUCUGUUAGUGGCAACACGACUUGCACGGAACCUUUACCAAAACUGGUUUCGCCAAGCACAAUAGCUCGCCGAUGAUCUUGCAUGGCACCGGCAACAAUUUCUGAUGCAGAGGCAGAGCCGCGAUUGAUCAAUACAACCAGUGGCGCUCCCAUUAAUAGGUCACCGGGUUUUGCUUUAAAUUCGCUGUCAAAUUGUGGCAUUUUGCCUUUGGUCGAUACGAUGGUUUUGUUGUCACCUAACUUUUCGCUAUCAAGAAAUGUAUCGCUCACGUCUACCGCCGCAGGCAACAAACCACCGGGAUCAUUUCGUAA
This 329-nucleotide non-coding RNA is filed under the name marine eukaryotic metagenome. The record is from RNAcentral.